AUUGAACGCUGGCGGCAUGCUUUACACAUGCAAGUCGAACGGCAGCGCGGGCUUCGGCCUGGCGGCGAGUGGCGAACGGGUGAGUAAUGCAUCGGAACGUGCCCAGUAGUGGGGGAUAGCCCGGCGAAAGCCGGAUUAAUACCGCAUACGACCUGAGGGUGAAAGCGGGGGACCGAAAGGCCUCGCGCUAUUGGAGCGGCCGAUGUCGGAUUAGCUAGUUGGUGGGGUAAAGGCUUACCAAGGCGACGAUCCGUAGCUGGCCUGAGAGGACGACCAGCCACACUGGGACUGAGACACGGCCCAGACUCCUACGGGAGGCAGCAGUGGGGAAUUUUGGACAAAGGGGGCAACCCUGAUCCAGCCAUGCCGCGUGCGGGAAGAAGGCCUUCGGGUUGUAAACCGCUUUUGUUCGGGAAGAAAUCCUCUGGGCUAAUACCCCGGGGGGAUGACGGUACCGGAAGAAUAAGCACCGGCUAACUACGUG
RNAcentral lists this ribosomal RNA (484 nucleotides) under uncultured bacterium. Its description in RNAcentral is "partial 16S ribosomal RNA". It matches the Rfam family "Bacterial small subunit ribosomal RNA", at positions 29 to 507 of the family's 1533-position model. The record is from RNAcentral.